UCUAUUGUGGCAGAAAAAUGCAAUGAACUUAAAAUUCUUUUAUAAAUAAAUUUAUUUCUUUAGAA
This 65-nucleotide transfer RNA is filed under the name Erechtia sp. CPL-2004b. RNAcentral's name for it is "tRNA-Leu". Lineage: Eukaryota; Metazoa; Arthropoda; Insecta; Hemiptera; Membracidae. The record is from RNAcentral.